GGAACCAUAGCUCAACUGGAAGAGCGUCCGCCUUGCAAGCGGAAGGUUAGGGUUCGACUCUCUGUGGCUCCA
Molecule: transfer RNA, 72 nt
Filed under: Trichocoleus sp. FACHB-46
Lineage: Bacteria; Bacillati; Cyanobacteriota; Cyanophyceae; Leptolyngbyales; Trichocoleusaceae
Also listed under: 1 other name
Description: tRNA-Ala
Rfam family: tRNA
About the family: Transfer RNA (tRNA) molecules are approximately 80 nucleotides in length.
Source: RNAcentral